This 164-nucleotide unclassified non-coding RNA is filed under the name uncultured Pestalotiopsis. Its description in RNAcentral is "sequence contains ITS2". Lineage: Eukaryota; Fungi; Ascomycota; Sordariomycetes; Amphisphaeriales; Amphisphaeriaceae. The record is from RNAcentral.
CAACCCUUAAGCCUAGCUUAGUGUUGGGAGCCUACUGCUUUUGUUAGCUGUAGCUCCUGAAAUACAACGGCGGAUCUGCGAUAUCCUCUGAGCGUAGUAAUUUUUAUCUCGCUUUUGACUGGAGUUGCAGCGUCUUUAGCCGCUAAACCCCCCAAUUUUUAAAU